UACGGAAGGCAGCAGUGGGGAAUAUUGCACAAUGGGCGCAAGCCUGAUGCAGCCAUGCCGCGUGUAUGAAGAAGGCCUUCGGGUUGUAAAGUACUUUCAGUCGUGAGGAAGGUGUUAAGGUUAAUAACCUUAGCAAUUGACGUUAGCGACAGAAGAAGCACCGGCUAACUCCGUGCCAGCAGCCGCGGUAAUACGGAGGGUGCGAGCGUUAAUCGGAAUUACUGGGCGUAAAGGGCACGCAGGCGGUUAAUUAAGUUGGAUGUGAAAUCCCCGGGCUUAACCUGGGAAUGGCAUUCAAGACUGGUUAGCUAGAGUCUUGUAGAGGGGGUAGAAUUCCAUGUGUAGCGGUGAAAUGCGUAGAGAUGUGGAGGAAAUACCGGUGGCGAAGGCGGCCCCUGGGACAAAGACUGACGCUCAUGUGCGAAAGCGUGGGGAGCGAAACAGGAUUAGAUACC
Molecule: ribosomal RNA, 455 nt
Filed under: uncultured bacterium
Lineage: Bacteria
Description: bacterial SSU rRNA
Rfam family: Bacterial small subunit ribosomal RNA
Source: RNAcentral